This 423-nucleotide ribosomal RNA is filed under the name uncultured bacterium. RNAcentral's name for it is "bacterial SSU rRNA". It matches the Rfam family "Bacterial small subunit ribosomal RNA", at positions 28 to 437 of the family's 1533-position model. The record is from RNAcentral.
GAUGAACGCUGGCGGCGUGCCUAACACAUGCAAGUCGAACGAAGCACUUUUUUACGAUCCCUUCGGGGUGACGAAUUUGUGACUGAGUGGCGGACGGGUGAGUAACGCGUGGGAAACCUGCCCUUGUACCGGGGGAUAGCAGUUGGAAACGACUGAUAAUACCGCAUAAGCGCACAGUAUCACAUGAUACAGUGUGAAAAACUCCGGUGGUACAAGAUGGCCCCGCGUCUGAUUAGCUUGUUGCGGGGUAAUGGCCCACCAAAGGCGACGAUCAGUAGCGACCUGAGAGGUGACCGGCCACAUUGGGACUGAGACACGGCCAAACUCCUACGGAGGCAGCAGUGGGGAAAUAUGNACAAUGAGGAAACUCUGAUGCAGCGACGCCGCGUGAGCGAUGAAGUAUUUCGGAUGUAAAGCUCUAUC